This is a long non-coding RNA of Melanotaenia boesemani (Boeseman's rainbowfish), 270 nucleotides long. RefSeq lists it as uncharacterized. The record is from RefSeq and is a predicted model, not a curated record. The transcript is spliced from 3 exons. Lineage: Eukaryota; Metazoa; Chordata; Actinopteri; Atheriniformes; Melanotaeniidae.
CCAAAUCUGAAAGAAAACAAACAAAAAAACAUUUUAUGUCACGGGGGGGGGGGGCGGAGACUGAACAAACCGUUCUAACUAAAACCUCUACAAAGCCCUGAUCCAGUCCCAGACCCGUCAGACUGACCCCAGUGUUUAGUUCCCAGUUUCUUCCAGUGGUGCUUCGUGAUUCAUGUUGCAUGGCUGGAAUGAGCCAGGUUCCCAGCUGGCGGGUCUUUGGGAAUCACCUGGUUACUGCUGAAAUCCUGUUUUCUAUCAGUCUGGCCUCUG